This 119-nucleotide ribosomal RNA is filed under the name Pteropus alecto (black flying fox). The record is from RNAcentral. Lineage: Eukaryota; Metazoa; Chordata; Mammalia; Chiroptera; Pteropodidae.
GACUUCAAGAAUGUAUAAAUGAACAAGCCCGAUCCCAUCUGAUCUCGGAAGCUAAGCGGGGUCAGGCCUGGUUAGUACUUGGAUGGGAGACCACCUAGGAAGACCAGGUGCUGUAGGCA